AAAACGGCUCUUUUCAGGGCCACAUUACGAUCUAUACAGUUUCUCU
Molecule: non-coding RNA, 46 nt
Organism: Bombyx mori (domestic silkworm)
Lineage: Eukaryota; Metazoa; Arthropoda; Insecta; Lepidoptera; Bombycidae
Source: Rfam